RNAcentral lists this transfer RNA (71 nucleotides) under Dreissena polymorpha. Its description in RNAcentral is "tRNA-Pro". It matches the Rfam family "tRNA". Rfam says of the family: Transfer RNA (tRNA) molecules are approximately 80 nucleotides in length. Their secondary structure includes four short double-helical elements and three loops (D, anti-codon, and T loops). The record is from RNAcentral. Lineage: Eukaryota; Metazoa; Mollusca; Bivalvia; Myida; Dreissenidae.
GGCUCGUUGGUUUAGGGGUAUGAUUCUCGCUUUGGGUGCGAGAGGUCCCGGGUGAAAUCCCGGACGAGCCC